CGUGGCGGACGGGUGAGUAACGCGUGGGUAACCUGCCUCAUACAGGGGGAUAACGGUUAGAAAUGACUGCUAAUACCGCAUAAGCGCACAGUACCGCAUGGUACGGUGUGAAAAACUCCGGUGGUAUGAGAUGGACCCGCGUCUGAUUAGGUAGUUGGUGAGGUAACGGCCCACCAAGCCGACGAUCAGUAGCCGACCUGAGAGGGUGACCGGCCACAUUGGGACUGAGACACGGCCCAG
RNAcentral lists this ribosomal RNA (240 nucleotides) under uncultured bacterium. Its description in RNAcentral is "partial 16S ribosomal RNA". It matches the Rfam family "Bacterial small subunit ribosomal RNA", at positions 94 to 334 of the family's 1533-position model. The record is from RNAcentral.